Molecule: transfer RNA, 67 nt
Filed under: Ictidomys tridecemlineatus (thirteen-lined ground squirrel)
Lineage: Eukaryota; Metazoa; Chordata; Mammalia; Rodentia; Sciuridae
Description: Spermophilus tridecemlineatus (thirteen-lined ground squirrel) tRNA
Rfam family: tRNA
About the family: Transfer RNA (tRNA) molecules are approximately 80 nucleotides in length.
Source: Rfam by way of RNAcentral
GGUGGUAGCUCAGUGGUAGAGUGCUUGCCUAGCAUGUGUGAGGCACUGGGUUCGAUUCUCAGCACCA